This 69-nucleotide transfer RNA is filed under the name Ictidomys tridecemlineatus (thirteen-lined ground squirrel). RNAcentral describes it as "Spermophilus tridecemlineatus (thirteen-lined ground squirrel) tRNA". It matches the Rfam family "tRNA". Rfam says of the family: Transfer RNA (tRNA) molecules are approximately 80 nucleotides in length. Their secondary structure includes four short double-helical elements and three loops (D, anti-codon, and T loops). Lineage: Eukaryota; Metazoa; Chordata; Mammalia; Rodentia; Sciuridae. The record is from Rfam by way of RNAcentral.
GGGGUUGUGGCUCAGUGGUAGAGCGCUUGCCUUGCACGUGCGGGGCCCUGGGUUCGAUCCUCAGCACCA